GACAGAGGGUGCAAACGUUGCUCGGAAUCACUGGGCGUAAAGGGUGCGUAGGCGGGUCUUUAAGUCAGGGGUGAAAUCCUGGAGCUCAACUCCAGAACUGCCUUUGAUACUGAAGAUCUUGAGUUCGGGAGAGGUGAGUGGAACUGCGAGUGUAGAGGUGAAAUUCGUAGAUAUUCGCAAGAACACCAGUGGCGAAGGCGGCUCACCUGGCCCGAUACUGACGCCUGAGGCACGAAAGCGUGGGAAGCAAACAGGG
This 256-nucleotide ribosomal RNA is filed under the name uncultured bacterium. RNAcentral's name for it is "partial 16S ribosomal RNA". It matches the Rfam family "Bacterial small subunit ribosomal RNA", at positions 524 to 777 of the family's 1533-position model. The record is from RNAcentral.